UAAACUACGAUUAGAUACCCUAUUAUUUUAAAUGUAAAUUUAAAGUUAAAAACCUGAGUAGUAGUAGUUAUGUUCUUGAAACUCAAAGAAUUUGGCGGUGCUUUAGUCCUUUCAGAGGAACCUGUCCCGUGAUCGAUAUUCCUCGUUUAAUCUUACUUGGGUUUGUUAUGUCAGUUUGUAUACCGCCGUCGUCAGAAUGUCCUAUGAGGGUAUAGAAUUUUCUUUAAAUUUUUAGUGAAUUGGAUGUCAGGUCAAGGUGCAGCUCAUGCUCAAGUGGAGAUGGGUUACAAUAAAUAUAAAUUUAUACGGAAGAAUAGAAUACUUGAAAGAUUAGAAUUUUGAAGGUGGAUUUGAUUGUAAUUGUUUAGAUUAAGAUAGUUUGAUUCUUGGCUCUAAAGCAUGCACACAUCGCCCGUCGCUCUUA
RNAcentral lists this ribosomal RNA (424 nucleotides) under Dinocras cephalotes. Its description in RNAcentral is "partial 12S ribosomal RNA". The stretch from base 56 to 424 matches the Rfam family "Microsporidia small subunit ribosomal RNA", at positions 752 to 1207 of the family's 1311-position model. The record is from RNAcentral. Lineage: Eukaryota; Metazoa; Arthropoda; Insecta; Plecoptera; Perlidae.